This is a long non-coding RNA of Brassica rapa (field mustard), 1863 nucleotides long. RefSeq lists it as uncharacterized. Lineage: Eukaryota; Viridiplantae; Streptophyta; Magnoliopsida; Brassicales; Brassicaceae. The record is from RefSeq and is a predicted model, not a curated record.
CAACCGAAAAACGGGUAGAUGAAAGUAUUAGUUUCCAAGUGUAUUUCACAUGAUUGAUGGUGUCGUCGAAUAGAACCAAAUAAUCAAAGAAACUGUUACGUGUCUUCGAAUAGAGCUAAAUAAUCAAAGAAACUGUUGCGUUCGACACGCUAUAAUAUAGAUCAAGUCAGUCAGUCAAUCUCUUUUGGUUACAAAUAUAGAUUAGUCAAUCGUAUACAGUUUAAAGCGUGGACUGUUGUGUAUUUUUAUUAUUAUUAUUAUUAUUAGAAAAAAAAUUUCAUUCUUUUGCUCCAAAAACCCUUAGAAUGUCUAAUGCAAAAAAAAUGUAACGAUAAAGUGGAAAUUUUCAUUAUAUUCUCCUAUGUUGUGUUUCAUACGCGUUUUGAAACCCGAUGCAGAUACCGAACCAGACAACUUACCGGAUCACCGGGUUAUUGGAUCGACUGUGGAUGAACCGUGAGUUAAUUAAUUAAUCAAUUUUUAUAUAUAAUAAUAUAUUAGCUAUUGAAAAAUAUAAGAAAAUUUUUAUGUUUUAAAAGAAUUUGGAAAAAUACUUAACUUUAAUUUUUCUUUAUUUUUACUUUCAUUUUACAUGCAAAAUAUAAAAAAAACAAUUAUACUAUUUAACAAUUUUAUAAGAAGUUAAGAAUUAUGACAUAGAAUAAAAAUAUAUCAAAACUUAAAAUCUAUAAGUAUUUAAAUCCAAAAUAAACCAAAAGUAAAACACAUAAAAUUAUAAUAAAAUAUCGAUAAAAAAUAAACAAAUGUCAAAUCACAUCAACUAGUUUUGUUAAUACAUUCAUAAUCCACAUGAUUAUAUGAUCUUUUUCUUUUUGAAAAAAAAAUUAAAAUUAAUUUCUUAAUUAUAAUACAAAACAAUUUCUAAUAAUAUAAAAGAAAAAAUCCAAGAAAAAACAAUUAAAAAUUAUAUAUUGGUUUAACCGGUGGUUCAAUUGCUAGCCGGGUUCCAGGUUUUAACGGUUUUUUUGUAGAUUUUACCGGGUUCUUAAAUAGUGGGUUUUUUUUCUAAAAUCCAAACCGAAUUACAUACCAGGUCACCAGAUUUACCGGUUCGACCGCGGGUCUCGAAACACUGAUUUCAUAUUACAUUUCCUAAAUAUUUCGAAAAUCUGGUUCAGCACCGAUUUCGAGAAACAGUCACACCCACAGACUGAGAAACUGAAUCUCACACUUCCCCUUCGAGUUCAUCCGCUGACAAAGCUGAGAGAGUUGUAGAACCAGCGGUUUGGUUCCAUCGUUCCAUCAAAGUGAGAUCACUCCCUGGAAAAAGAAGUACAAAAUGAGAAAAGGUCAACAUCACCACAACUCUUGAUGACCCAACUGUUAGAGGCUUACGUGAUCGCAAAACAUGUCUAGAGCUGUCUGAACUUGCACGACCAGAAGAAGAACAUGGACUUGGACAUUCACCAGGAGCUGGUUAUGUGGAGCCUAAGCCAUCAUACCCUUCAUGGACCACCCCACAUUAAAUUUCUCACACUCACAACCAUAUAAUUCAUUCUCACUUUGAUUUUGAACCAGCUAAUAAAACUCAGCUCUAUACAUUUCUUGAAGAAGAAACUACCUAGAGCAGGAGAGAAACCUAUAUGAAUGGUUCUACUACAAAAACAUCCUGAAGAAAGAGCAAAGUAAAGUUCAUACAACCAAGACAAAUUAGUUUAUGACUGAAUCUCAGAGACACUCUUAUCAGUCAGUUUCCUUUGUAUUUAAUGAAUAAUAAUUUAUUCUUGGUCUUUGUAAAAGUGAGAUACCUGACAUCUUUCUAUGUCUUUCUUUCCAGUUUUUUAUUUACAGAUCUUUCCCCAUCUCGAGGAAGAGAAUUAUACAAGAGCUUUGCAAGUUGUA